Molecule: ribosomal RNA, 1401 nt
Filed under: Triticum aestivum (bread wheat)
Lineage: Eukaryota; Viridiplantae; Streptophyta; Magnoliopsida; Poales; Poaceae
Description: partial small subunit ribosomal RNA
Source: RNAcentral
AUGGAGCUCCCGUCCGCGGCUUCCUCGCCCUCCGCCUACAAGCUGGUGGACACGUGCAAGAAGGCGGCGGCCACGGCGGCGUCCGUGACCGCCUACGCCGUGCUGGCGCGCGGCAUGGCGCGGGAGCUCCUGCCGCCCGACCUCUGCGCCGUCGUCAGCUGGGCCGCCUCGCUCGUGCGCGGCCACCUCCAGCCCCCGCCCGCCCAGCGUCGCACCGUCGUCGUCAAGCGCCUGGACGGCUGCGCCAUCAGCUGCGCCAACUUGAACUCCUUCUACGACGACGUCAACGACUACCUCGCCACCAGGAUCGACCCGCAGUCCAUGCGCCGGCUCUGCCUCAGCGGCGCCGGCGCCAGGAAGGUCAUGUCCAUGGACACCGGCGACUCCAUGACCGACGUCUUCGAGGGCGUCCGGUUCACGUGGACGUCCGUCUCGGGGGAAGGCCGCAAAGGCCCGGACUCGCUGGAGCUCACCUUCGACGCGGAGCACACGGACAUGGCGCUGGGCACGUACGUGCCCUCCAUCACGGCCGCGGUGGAGCAGGCGCGGCGUCGGGACUGCAAGCUCAAGAUCUUCAUGAACGAGGGCUCGUCGUGGCGCGGGAUCAGCCACAACCACCCGGCCACGUUCGACACGCUCGCCAUGGACCCGCCCACCAAGCAGGCCCUCAUCGCCGACCUCGACAGGUUCUUGAAGCGCAAGGAGUACUACCGGCGGAUCGGCAAGGCAUGGAAGCGCGGCUACCUUCUCUACGGCCCGCCCGGCACCGGCAAGUCCAGCCUGGUGGCCGCCGUGGCUAACUACCUCCGCUUCAACCUCUACGACCUCGACCUCUCCGAGGUGCGCUACAACGCCGAGCUGCAGAAGCUGCUCAUCGGCAUGCCCAACAGGUCCAUCCUUGUCAUCGAGGACAUCGACUGCUGCUUCAGCGCCACGUCCAGGGAAGGUGGCAAGGAGCGCAAGACGCUGGCGCGGGCCGACUAUGGCCAUGGCGACGAUGACUCUGACGACUGCUCGAACAAGAGUAUCACACUGUCGGGGCUGCUCAACUUCAUCGACGGGCUGUGGUCGACGAGCGGCAAGGAGCGCGUCAUCAUCUUCACCACCAACUACAAGGAUCGCCUCGACCCGGCGCUGCUGCGUCCUGGGCGCAUGGACAUGCACGUCUACAUGGGCUACUGUGGCUGGGAGGCGUUCAGGACGCUAGCCCGGAACUACUUCCUCGUCGACGACCACCCUCUGUUCCCGGAGAUACAGGAGCUGCUUGCCGAGGUGGAGGUGACGCCAGCCGAGGUGUCCGAGAUGCUGCUGCGGAACGAGGACGCCGACAUUGCGCUCCUCGGGCUGGUUGAGUUUCUCACAGCCAAGAAGCAGGGAGGAAAAGAUUCAGUCAAGGCAUGA